RNAcentral lists this ribosomal RNA (497 nucleotides) under uncultured bacterium. RNAcentral describes it as "partial 16S ribosomal RNA". It matches the Rfam family "Bacterial small subunit ribosomal RNA", at positions 28 to 507 of the family's 1533-position model. The record is from RNAcentral.
GAUGAACGCUGGCGGCGUGCCUAAUACAUGCAAGUCGUUCGAACAGCUGAGGAGCUUGCUCCUCUGACGUUAGCGGCGGUCGGGUGAGUAACACGUGGAUAACCUACCUAUAAGACUGAGAUAACUUCGGGACACCGGAGCUAAUACCGGAUAAUAUAUUGACCCGCAUGGUUCAAUAGUGAAAGACGGUUUUGCUGUCACUUAUAUCUUGAUCCCGUGCGCAUUAGCUAGUUGGUCAGGUAACGGCUUACCAAGGCCACGAUGAGUAGCCGACAUGAGCGGGAGAGCGAGCACACUGGAACUGAGACACGGUCAAGACGCCUACGGGAGGCAGCAGUAGGGAAUCUGCCGCAAUGGGCGAAAGAAUGACGGAGCAACGCCGCGUGAGUGAUGAAGGUCUUCGGAGCGUAAAACGCAGUUAUUAGGGAAGAACAAAUGUGUAAGUAACUAUGCACGUCUUGACGGUACCUAAACAGAAAGCCACGGCUAACUACGUG